Unclassified non-coding RNA from Macaca fascicularis (crab-eating macaque), 147 nucleotides. It matches the Rfam family "Metazoan signal recognition particle RNA". Rfam says of the family: The signal recognition particle (SRP) is a universally conserved ribonucleoprotein. It is involved in the co-translational targeting of proteins to membranes. The eukaryotic SRP consists of a 300-nucleotide 7S RNA and six proteins: SRPs 72, 68, 54, 19, 14, and 9. Lineage: Eukaryota; Metazoa; Chordata; Mammalia; Primates; Cercopithecidae. The record is from Ensembl.
GCCAGGCAUGGUGGUGCAUGCCUGUAGUCCCAGCUACUUGGGAGGCUGAGGCAGAGAAUCACUUGAACCCAGGAGGCAGAGGUUGCAGUGAGCUGAGAUGGUGCCGCUGCACUCCAGCCUGGGUGACAGAGUGAGACUCUGUCUCAA